This 936-nucleotide ribosomal RNA is filed under the name Curtobacterium oceanosedimentum. Its description in RNAcentral is "bacterial SSU rRNA". It matches the Rfam family "Bacterial small subunit ribosomal RNA", at positions 56 to 1002 of the family's 1533-position model. Lineage: Bacteria; Bacillati; Actinomycetota; Actinomycetes; Micrococcales; Microbacteriaceae. The record is from RNAcentral.
UGCAAGUCGAACGAUGAUGCCCAGCUUGCUGGGUGGAUUAGUGGCGAACGGGUGAGUAACACGUGAGUAACCUGCCCCUGACUCUGGGAUAAGCGUUGGAAACGACGUCUAAUACUGGAUACGACUGCCGGCCGCAUGGUCUGGUGGUGGAAAGAUUUUUUGGUUGGGGAUGGACUCGCGGCCUAUCAGCUUGUUGGUGAGGUAAUGGCUCACCAAGGCGACGACGGGUAGCCGGCCUGAGAGGGUGACCGGCCACACUGGGACUGAGACACGGCCCAGACUCCUACGGGAGGCAGCAGUGGGGAAUAUUGCACAAUGGGCGAAAGCCUGAUGCAGCAACGCCGCGUGAGGGAUGACGGCCUUCGGGUUGUAAACCUCUUUUAGUAGGGAAGAAGCGAAAGUGACGGUACCUGCAGAAAAAGCACCGGCUAACUACGUGCCAGCAGCCGCGGUAAUACGUAGGGUGCAAGCGUUGUCCGGAAUUAUUGGGCGUAAAGAGCUCGUAGGCGGUUUGUCGCGUCUGCUGUGAAAUCCCGAGGCUCAACCUCGGGCUUGCAGUGGGUACGGGCAGACUAGAGUGCGGUAGGGGAGAUUGGAAUUCCUGGUGUAGCGGUGGAAUGCGCAGAUAUCAGGAGGAACACCGAUGGCGAAGGCAGAUCUCUGGGCCGUAACUGACGCUGAGGAGCGAAAGCGUGGGGAGCGAACAGGAUUAGAUACCCUGGUAGUCCACGCCGUAAACGUUGGGCGCUAGAUGUAGGGACCUUUCCACGGUUUCUGUGUCGUAGCUAACGCAUUAAGCGCCCCGCCUGGGGAGUACGGCCGCAAGGCUAACACUCAAAGGAAUUGACGGGGGCCCGCACAAGCGGCGGAGCAUGCGGAUUAAUUCGAUGCAACGCGAAGAACCUUACCAAGGCUUGACAUACACCGGAAACGGCC